RNAcentral lists this ribosomal RNA (505 nucleotides) under uncultured bacterium. RNAcentral's name for it is "partial 16S ribosomal RNA". It matches the Rfam family "Bacterial small subunit ribosomal RNA", at positions 28 to 507 of the family's 1533-position model. The record is from RNAcentral.
GACGAACGCUGGCGGCGUGCCUAAUACAUGCAAGUAGAACGCACAGUUUAUACCGUAGCUUGCUACACCAUAAACUGUGAGUUGCGAACGGGUGAGUAACGCGUAGGUAACCUGCCUGGUAGCGGGGGAUAACUAUUGGAAACGAUAGCUAAUACCGCAUAAUAUUGAUUAUUGCAUGAUAAUUGAUUGAAAGAUGCUAUUGCAUCACUACCAGAUGGACCUGCGUUGUAUUAGCUAGUAGGUGAGGUAACGGCUCACCUAGGCGACGAUACAUAGCCGACCUGAGAGGGUGAUCGGCCACACUGGGACUGAGACACGGCCCAGACUCCUACGGGAGGCAGCAGUAGGGAAGCUUCGGCAAUGGACGAAAGUCUGACCGAGCAACGCCGCGUGAGUGAAGAAGGUUUUCGGAUCGUAAAGCUCUGUUGUAAGAGAAGAACGGGUGUGAGAGUGGAAAGUUCACACUGUGACGGUAUCUUACCAGAAAGGGACGGCUAACUACGUG